Molecule: ribosomal RNA, 468 nt
Filed under: uncultured bacterium
Lineage: Bacteria
Description: partial 16S ribosomal RNA
Rfam family: Bacterial small subunit ribosomal RNA
Source: RNAcentral
GACGAACGCUGGCGGCGUGCUUAACACAUGCAAGUCGAACGGAAAGGCCCUGCUUUUGUGGGGUGCUCGAGUGGCGAACGGGUGAGUAACACGUGAGUAACCUGCCCUUGACUUUGGGAUAACUUCAGGAAACUGGGGCUAAUACCGGAUAGGAGCUCCUGCUGCAUGGUGGGGGUUGGAAAGUUUCGGCGGUUGGGGAUGGACUCGCGGCUUAUCAGCUUGUUGGUGGGGUAGUGGCUUACCAAGGCUUUGACGGGUAGCCGGCCUGCGAGGGUGACCGGCCACAUUGGGACUGCGAUACGGCCCAGACUACUACGGGAGGCAGCAGUGGGGAAUAUUGCACAAUGGGCGGAAGCCUGAUGCAGCAACGCCGCGUGCGGGAUGACGGCCUUCGGGUUGUAAACCGCUUUCGCCUGUGACGAAGCGUGAGUGACGGUAAUGGGUAAAGAAGCACCGGCUAACUACGUG